GAUUCCUACCCAGAGUUGCUAACUUGCGUGAUUUGCACGUGUGUGUGAGCAUUAACCGCACUUGCUGCUUUUCAUAAUGCCCCAGCUCCUGAAAAAAAGAUGUCUGGUGAUGACAGUUGUUUUCAGAUCAGAAUAACAAAAAGGCUGGGGGAAAAUGGCCACUCUUGAUGUCCAAGCUUUGUUGCAUCUUUGGAGCCAAGAAAGUUGUGAUGGGGAAGAAAGAAGAAAAUUCAUACAAGGUGGGAGACAGUUAGGAAAAGCACUUUCUGCAGUGACGCUUUAAAAUGGUACCAAGGAAGAAAACAGAUUACAGAUAUUGCAUGAAGAUGACCAUAGGAUGGUGGAGCUCAGCAUUCUGUGAGAAGAGAGCAAGGCAAAUAGCAGGAUCAUAGCCCUGGACUUCAGGAAAGCAGAUUUUGGCCUAUUCAGGGGAUUUGCUUGGAAGACUCCCAUAGCAUAUGAUGCUGGAAAGAAGAAGGGCCCAGGAGAGCUGGCUCAUUUUCAAAGAUCGCCAGAAGUAGUCCUCCCACAUGUGCAGGGAAUCAAGCAAAGGUGGCAGGAGGCCAGCAUAGAUGAAUAAGGAGCUCCUGAGUAAACUCCGACAUGGAAAGGAUGCAUAAAGAGGUGGAAGCAGGGAUAGGUGACCUGGGAGGAAUAUAGAGGCACUGUCAAGUGUACAGAAGUGGGGUUAGGAAGGCCAAAGCCCACCUGGAAUUGAUUCUGGCUGGGGAGGUGAAAGGCAACGAGAAGGACUCUACAUGUAUAUCAACAGCAAAGGGCUGACCAACCUGAUGGCUUUCUAUGAUGAAAUGACAAGCUCGGUGAAUAAGGGGCAUGUUGUUUAUUUGGACUUUAGCAAGGCUUUUGAUACUGUCUCCCAUAACAUCCUCACAGACAAACUGAUGAAAUACAGGUUAGAUAAAUAGACUGCAUAGUGGAUUGAGGACAUGAACUUCUGGUCUCAAAAGUAGUGAACAACACAAAGUCCAUCUGGACCAGUGACUACUGGUGUAUUCCAAGGGUCAAUACUAGGCCCAUUACUGUGUAACAGCUUUGUUAAUGACAAAUGGAUGAUGGAACAGAGUGCACGUGCACCAAAUUGCAGUUGUUAAAGAUUGGGAGGUGGUUGUGCCACCAUUCAGAGGGACCUCAACAGACUGGAGAAAUGGGCAACCUCAUGAAAUUCAACACAGGGCAAUACAAAGUCCCACACCCAGUGAGGAGAACCCCCAUGCCCUAGUACAACCUGGGACCAACUGGCUGGAAGCAGCUUUUGCAGGAAAAGCCCCAGGGGUCUUGGUGGACAGCAAGGUGGCCAUGAGCCACAAAUGUGCUCUUGCAGCAAAGAAGGCCUACAGCAGUCUGGGCUGCCUUAGGAGGACUACUGCCAGCAGGUCAAGGAAGGUCAUCCUUCCUGUCUCCUCAGGACUGGUGAAGCAACAUCUGGAGUGCUGGGCACCCUAGCCCAGGAGAGACAUGGACAUAUUGGAGCGAGUCCACUGAAGGGACUGGAGCAUCUGCCAUGUGAGGAAAGGCUGAGAGAGCUGGGAUUGUUUAGCGUGGCAAAGAAAAGGCUCAGGGGGGAUCUUAUCAAUGAAUAUAAAUACCUGAUGGGAGGGUAUAAAGACAGGGCCAGACUCUUUUCAGUGGUGCCCAGUGAAAAGACAAGAGGCAACAGGCACAAACUGAAGGUGGUCAAACACUGGAAACGGUUGCUCAGAGAGGUUGUGGAGUCACCAUCCCUGGAGAUACUCAAAACCCCACUGGACAUGGCUCUGAACGACCUGCUCUAGCUGACCUGACUUUGAGCAGGGAGGCUGGGUUAGGUAAUCUCCAGAGGUCCCUUCCAGCCUCGACCAUUCUGUAAUUCUGCCUCUUGCAAGUUCAGGUACUUCUCCUUUUCUACCAUUUUGUUUCUGUGGUGUGGCUUCUCCAAAGCCAGCUGGUAAUCAAAGAGUCACCUUUGUAAAGAAUGAAGUCAGAAUUAGGGAUCUACAAAAAAAGAUCAUUCUUGGCAGUUGUCUCACAUUCAGUCCUUGAAAGCUCAUGUCAAGAAGCUGAAGGAAAUUGCUGCCUCUGUAACCACUGUAGAGUCUCAGUCAAAUAUCAGUAUUUAUACACUCAGUAGGGAGAGCUAAGUGAAAGAGACUGAGAAUUGAAAAAGUGUCUGAAGUAGAAUUCCAAAUCCUUUUCAAAAGUGUCACUUUUACAGCUAUUAUAGUUUGACUAUAACAGUAUGACAUGUGAUGCUCUAAAUGAAAGGGAACCAUGAUAGCCUCUCUGGAUCCAGCGCACCCAUGAUAAGUAGAAUAGAAUAGAAUAGAAAAGACCAGACUAUUUCAGCUGGAAGGGACCAACAAUGAUAAUCUAGUCCAAGUGCCUGACCACUUCAGGGCUGACCAACAGUUAAAGCAUGUUGUUAAGGGCAUUGUCCAAAUGCUUCUUAAACACUGAUCUCUGCCAGGAAUUAGGAGAGAGUUCAGGCAUUACUUGGCCACAGUGCAUAUGUUAUGGGACUGCACAGAGUGGCUAAGGGAUGUGCAGGGUGGUGGGAAUUGGAGUAUUGUUACCCCUCGAGUCAUAAGAUGUGGAUCAUCCAGGCUUUUCCUGUGCUUACUGGCUUGAGUGCCAUGGCUAGUAAUUAUAAUAGGUGAAAUUUUUAUUCCUUAAUGAUAGAUGGUGUCACAGUGCCCCUAGGCAGGUUUCACUGUGGUUUCAGAGUAGUGGUGGGUUGCAGAGUCUCUUUCAGUAGGGAUCUGGGACUCUUCCUGGGGACUUCAUUCUGCAUUGGAGGUUGCACCAUGAGGUAGGGUUGAGGGCACUGGGACUCUCCCAUUCUCCUUGUGGUACAGAAUUCUUCACCUCAUCACAGCCUCUCUUCCUUCCCUUCCCUACUCCUGGAGUGGUGAUCAACAGAAAUAAUGCUGGCAUCCUCUGAACAGCAGGACAUGGGAAGAGACACUUUAAUGGGGUAGUACUGAAUAGAGCCAGGCUAAGCCAUGGGAGGCAGCACAGGUGGCAUACAAGGAUAAUAGAAUCAUAGAAUACUUUGGGUUGGAAGGGACCUUUAAAGGUCAUGUAGUGCAACUUGCCCUGCAAUGAGCAGGGACAUCUUCAACCAGAUCAGGUUGCUCAGAGCCCCACCCAACCUGGCCUUGAACACUUCCAGGAAUGGGGCAUUUACCACCUCUCUGGGCAACCUGGGCCUGUGUUUGACC
Non-coding RNA from Phalacrocorax carbo (great cormorant), 3218 nucleotides. The record is from RefSeq and is a predicted model, not a curated record. NCBI's taxonomy places the organism in Eukaryota, Metazoa, Chordata, Aves, Suliformes, Phalacrocoracidae.